UAAUGAUUCACACGCCGACUGCUAUCAGUAUUUUUGUGUGCCUGAGUAUGGUACAGCUAAUGGCCGUCUUCAUUUCCAUGCGGUGCACUUUAUGCGGACACUUCCUACAGGUAGCGUUGACCCUAAUUUUGGUCGUCGGGUACGCAAUCGCCGCCAGUUAAAUAGCUUGCAAAAUACGUGGCCUUAUGGUUACAGUAUGCCCAUCGCAGUUCGCUACACGCAGGACGCUUUUUCACGUUCUGGUUGGUUGUGGCCUGUUGAUGCUAAAGGUGAGCCGCUUAAAGCUACCAGUUAUAUGGCUGUUGGUUUCUAUGUGGCUAAAUACGUUAACAAAAAGUCAGAUAUGGACCUUGCUGCUAAAGGUCUAGGAGCUAAAG
This 377-nucleotide ribosomal RNA is filed under the name uncultured prokaryote. RNAcentral's name for it is "partial 16S ribosomal RNA". The record is from RNAcentral.